UGGCGACCGGCGCACGGGUGCGUAACGCGUAUGCAACCUACCCAUAACAGGGGGAUAACACUGAGAAAUUGGUACUAAUACCCCAUAACAUCAGGACCGGCAUCGGUUCUGGUUGAAAACUCCGGUGGUUAUGGAUGGGCAUGCGUUGUAUUAGCUGGUUGGUGAGGUAACGGCUCACCAGGCAACGAUACAUAGGGGGACUGAGAGGUUAACCCCCCACAUUGGUACUGAGACACGGACCAA
RNAcentral lists this ribosomal RNA (243 nucleotides) under uncultured bacterium. RNAcentral describes it as "partial 16S ribosomal RNA". It matches the Rfam family "Bacterial small subunit ribosomal RNA", at positions 89 to 334 of the family's 1533-position model. The record is from RNAcentral.